UUAAGCGACUAAGCGUACACGGUGGAUGCCCUGGCAGUCAGAGGCGAUGAAGGACGUGCUAAUCUGCGAUAAGCGUCGGUGAGGUGAUAUGAACCGUUAUAACCGGCGAUUUCCGAAUGGGGAAACCCAGUGUGUUUCGACACACUAUCAUUAACUGAAUCCAUAGGUUAAUGAGGCGAACCGGGGGAACUGAAACAUCUAAGUACCCCGAGGAAAAGAAAUCAACCGAGAUUCCCCCAGUAGCGGCGAGCGAACGGGGAGGAGCCCAGAGCCUGAAUCAGUGUGUGUGUUAGUGGAAGCGUCUGGAAAGGCGCGCGAUACAGGGUGACAGCCCCGUACACAAAAAUGCACAUAUUGUGAGCUCGAUGAGUAGGGCGGGACACGUGGUAUCCUGUCUGAAUAUGGGGGGGACCAUCCUCCAAGGCUAAAUACUCCUGACUGACCGAUAGUGAACCAGUACCGUGAGGGAAAGGCGAAAAGAACCCCGGCGAGGGGAGUGAAAAAGAACCUGAAACCGUGUACGUACAAGCAGUGGGAGCCUCUUAAUGGGGUGACUGCGUACCUUUUGUAUAAUGGGUCAGCGACUUAUAUUCUGUAGCAAGGUUAACCGAAUAGGGGAGCCGAAGGGAAACCGAGUCUUAACUGGGCGUUAAGUUGCAGGGUAUAGACCCGAAACCCGGUGAUCUAGCCAUGGGCAGGUUGAAGGUUGGGUAACACUAACUGGAGGACCGAACCGACUAAUGUUGAAAAAUUAGCGGAUGACUUGUGGCUGGGGGUGAAAGGCCAAUCAAACCGGGAGAUAGCUGGUUCUCCCCGAAAGCUAUUUAGGUAGCGCCUCGUGAAUUCAUCUCCGGGGGUAGAGCACUGUUUCGGCAAGGGGGUCAUCCCGACUUACCAACCCGAUGCAAACUGCGAAUACCGGAGAAUGUUAUCACGGGAGACACACGGCGGGUGCUAACGUCCGUCGUGAAGAGGGAAACAACCCAGACCGCCAGCUAAGGUCCCAAAGUCAUGGUUAAGUGGGAAACGAUGUGGGAAGGCCCAGACAGCCGGAUGUUGGCUUAGAAGCAGCCAUCAUUUAAAGAAAGCGUAAUAGCUCACUGGUCGAGUCGGCCUGCGCGGAAGAUGUAACGGGCUAAACCAUGCACCGAAGCUGCGGCAGCGACACUAUGUGUUGUUGGGUAGGGGAGCGUUCUGUAAGCCUGUGAAGGUGGCCUGUGAGGGUUGCUGGAGGUAUCAGAAGUGCGAAUGCUGACAUAAGUAACGAUAAAGCGGGUGAAAAGCCCGCUCGCCGGAAGACCAAGGGUUCCUGUCCAACGUUAAUCGGGGCAGGGUGAGUCGACCCCUAAGGCGAGGCCGAAAGGCGUAGUCGAUGGGAAACAGGUUAAUAUUCCUGUACUUGGUGUUACUGCGAAGGGGGGACGGAGAAGGCUAUGUUGGCCGGGCGACGGUUGUCCCGGUUUAAGCGUGUAGGCUGGUUUUCCAGGCAAAUCCGGAAAAUCAAGGCUGAGGCGUGAUGACGAGGCACUACGGUGCUGAAGCGACAAAUGCCCUGCUUCCAGGAAAAGCCUCUAAGCAUCAGGUAACAUCAAAUCGUACCCCAAACCGACACAGGUGGUCAGGUAGAGAAUACCAAGGCGCUUGAGAGAACUCGGGUGAAGGAACUAGGCAAAAUGGUGCCGUAACUUCGGGAGAAGGCACGCUGAUAUGUAGGUGAAGCGACUUGCUCGUGGAGCUGAAAUCAGUCGAAGAUACCAGCUGGCUGCAACUGUUUAUUAAAAACACAGCACUGUGCAAACACGAAAGUGGACGUAUACGGUGUGACGCCUGCCCGGUGCCGGAAGGUUAAUUGAUGGGGUUAGCGGUAACGCGAAGCUCUUGAUCGAAGCCCCGGUAAACGGCGGCCGUAACUAUAACGGUCCUAAGGUAGCGAAAUUCCUUGUCGGGUAAGUUCCGACCUGCACGAAUGGCGUAAUGAUGGCCAGGCUGUCUCCACCCGAGACUCAGUGAAAUUGAACUCGCUGUGAAGAUGCAGUGUACCCGCGGCAAGACGGAAAGACCCCGUGAACCUUUACUAUAGCUUGACACUGAACAUUGAGCCUUGAUGUGUAGGAUAGGUGGGAGGCUUUGAAGUGUGGACGCCAGUCUGCAUGGAGCCGACCUUGAAAUACCACCCUUUAAUGUUUGAUGUUCUAACGUGGGCCCCUUACCGGGGUUGCGGACAGUGUCUGGUGGGUAGUUUGACUGGGGCGGUCUCCUCCUAAAGAGUAACGGAGGAGCACGAAGGUUGGCUAAUCUCGUCGGACAUCAGGAGGUUAGUGCAAUGGCAUAAGCCAGCUUGACUGCGAGCGUGACGGCGCGAGCAGGUGCGAAAGCAGGUCAUAGUGAUCCGGUGGUUCUGAAUGGAAGGGCCAUCGCUCAACGGAUAAAAGGUACUCCGGGGAUAACAGGCUGAUACCGCCCAAGAGUUCAUAUCGACGGCGGUGUUUGGCACCUCGAUGUCGGCUCAUCACAUCCGGGGCUGAAGUAGGUCCCAAGGGUAUGGCUGUUCGCCAUUUAAAGUGGUACGCGAGCUGGGUUUAGAACGUCGUGAGACAGUUCGGUCCCUAUUCGCCGUGGGCGCUGGAGAACUGAGGGGGGCUGCUCCUAGUACGAGAGGACCGGAGUGGACGCAUCACUGGUGUUCGGGUUGUCAUGCCAAUGGCACUGCCCGGUAGCUAAAUGCGGAAGAGAUAAGUGCUGAAAGCAUCUAAGCACGAAACUUGCCCCGAGAUGAGUUCUCCCUGACUCCUUGAGAGUCCUGAAGGAACGUUGAAGACGACGACGUUGAUAGGCCGGGUGUGUAAGCGCAGCGAUGCGUUGAGCUAACCGGUACUAAUGAACCGUGAGGCUUAACCU
This 2898-nucleotide ribosomal RNA is filed under the name Escherichia coli. RNAcentral describes it as "23S ribosomal RNA". It matches the Rfam family "Bacterial large subunit ribosomal RNA". The record is from RNAcentral. Lineage: Bacteria; Pseudomonadati; Pseudomonadota; Gammaproteobacteria; Enterobacterales; Enterobacteriaceae.